UUUUUUUUUUUUUAUUCAACAACAACUAAUUGCACUUUCUGCUGUUAACAAUGUACUUCACUAGUCCAGCAUUCCAGUAAAGAGUCCUGUUUGUUAAUACCAGAAAUCCAGGGUUGUUUCUGGUAAGCAUCAUUAUAUUAAAUUAACAUUAGUUUUAAUUUAACAGCUAAUUUAUAAAAUUAUCAGCAAUGAAAUUAACAAGUAUAUAUCAAUGGUACUUAUUUGUUUUACAAUUUACUAUAUAUAUCAUCUAGCAAUAAUUUAUUUUUGGGUAUUGUUUCCGGAAAUUUUUCAUAUUUCCUCCGUAAACGGGUUAAUUGUUUUUCUAUCAAACAUCUUCCUGGUUUUGAAACAAAUAUUGUCACACCGGCCAUGACUUAAAAAAUAAAAAAAUAAACAGAUGUGAUAUAGCAUAUUCACAUUAUGCAACAGUAUGUUCUCGAACUUCAAUUUUGAACAGAUCCCAUUGAAGUCCUAUAUUAUCAACCGCACUUGGCCUUGACUUCCGUUUAAUA
This is a long non-coding RNA of Mytilus californianus (California mussel), 515 nucleotides long. RefSeq lists it as uncharacterized. The transcript is spliced from 3 exons. NCBI's taxonomy places the organism in Eukaryota, Metazoa, Mollusca, Bivalvia, Mytilida, Mytilidae. The record is from RefSeq and is a predicted model, not a curated record.